RNAcentral lists this ribosomal RNA (825 nucleotides) under Mycosphaerella coacervata. Its description in RNAcentral is "eukaryotic LSU rRNA". It matches the Rfam family "Eukaryotic large subunit ribosomal RNA", at positions 71 to 925 of the family's 3401-position model. The record is from RNAcentral. Lineage: Eukaryota; Fungi; Ascomycota; Dothideomycetes; Mycosphaerellales; Mycosphaerellaceae. RNAcentral also lists the same sequence under 2 other names.
GGGAUUGCCCUAGUAACGGCGAGUGAAGCGGCAACAGCUCAAAUUUGAAAUCUGGCGUAAGCCCGAGUUGUAAUUUGUAGAGGAUGCUUCUGGGUAGCGACCGAUCUAAGUUCCUUGGAACAGGACGUCAUAGAGGGUGAGAAUCCCGUAUGUGACCGGCCCGCACCCUUUACGUAGCUCCUUCGACGAGUCGAGUUGUUUGGGAAUGCAGCUCUAAAUGGGAGGUAAAUUUCUUCUAAAGCUAAAUACCGGCCAGAGACCGAUAGCGCACAAGUAGAGUGAUCGAAAGAUGAAAAGUACUUUGGAAAGAGAGUUAAAAAGCACGUGAAAUUGUUGAAAGGGAAGCGCCUGCAACCAGACUUCGUGGCAGUGUUCCGCCGGUCUUCUGACCGGUUUAUUCUCUGUCGCGAGGCCAUCAUCGUCUAGGCCCGCCGGAUAAGACCUUAGGAAUGUAGCUCACCUUCGGGGGAGUGUUAUAGCUUAUGGUGAUGCGGCGAGGCUUGGGCGAGGUCCGCGCUUCGGCAAGGAUGAUGGCGUAAUGGUUGUCGGCGGCCCGUCUUGAAACACGGACCAAGGAGUCUAACAUCUAUGCGAGUGUUCGGGUGUCAAACCCCUACGCGUAAUGAAAGUGAACGGAGGUGGGAACCGCAAGGUGCACCAUCGACCGAUCCUGAUGUCCUCGGAUGGAUUUGAGUAAGAGCAUAGCUGUUGGGACCCGAAAGAUGGUGAACUAUGCCUGAAUAGGGUGAAGCCAGAGGAAACUCUGGUGGAGGCUCGCAGCGGUUCUGACGUGCAAAUCGAUCGUCAAAUUUGGGUAUAGGGGCG